Chrysemys picta bellii (western painted turtle) is the source of this 717-nucleotide long non-coding RNA. RefSeq lists it as uncharacterized. The record is from RefSeq and is a predicted model, not a curated record. NCBI's taxonomy places the organism in Eukaryota, Metazoa, Chordata, Testudines, Emydidae.
AAAGAAAACCACUCAGGAGAAUCACUUGCAAAGCAAGAGACAAACAGCGUUCCAGCAACCGUCACAGGCGGUAAGAAGGAACUGAAGGUGUGGCAGGAUGUCACAUACCUAUAUACUGCAGUAUGAGGGUGCCACUCCAGGGGGCACCAGAGUCAAGCCGAUGGAUACCACUAGGGGAAAAACUUCUGGUGACGGUGCACGCACACCUACAUUGGAACAGACAUGAGCAAGCAGUCAAAGAACUCCAGUUACUAUAAGGUCCUGAUGGGGCGAUGGAGCUGAGAAACAGGUGGAGUGCUGGGGCCUGAAGUGUUUCCUCAAAGGCACCAUAAAGACCCAGAGACUUGAGGGUGGCUUUGGAGUCUUUCAGACCAUGGAGCUUUGCAUCUGUUUGCUCUGAGAAGAGCGAAGCGCCUUCAAACAGAAGGUCUGAAUGGACUGCUCGACCUCCAUUGGAGCCAAGACCAUCUGUGCAUGACCACUGUAGAAGCCAUGGAUCUAGCCGCCCAGUCUUUUGCAUCCAGGGGAACCUGCAGGGAAGUCCUGGCUACAUACUUACACUCAUCUACCAGAGCACAGAACUCCUGCCUGAACUCCUCGGGAAUUGAGUCCUUGAAUUUUAACAUCUAGUCACAGACGUUAAAGUCAUACCUCCCGAACAACCCCACCUGCUGGUUGGAGCUGCAGACCUCCGUAGAAUAAACCUUUGUACCAAAA